GGAAUCUUGCGCAAUGGGCGAAAGCCUGACGCAGCGACGCCGCGUGCGGGAAGAAGGCCUUCGGGUUGUAAACCGCUUUCAGGAGGGAAGAAGCGUAAGUGACGGUACCUCCAGAAGAAGCCCCGGCCAACUACGUGCCAGCAGCCGCGGUAAUACGUAGGGGGCGAGCGUUGUCCGGAAUUAUUGGGCGUAAAGCGCGCGCAGGCGGGACUUGCAAGUCGGGAGUGAAAGGCCGGGGCUCAACCCCGGAGCUGCUUUCGAGACUGCGGACCUGGAGACCAGUAGGGGUUGGUGGAAUUCCCGGUGUAGCGGUGGAAUGCGUAGAGAUCGGGAAGAACACCGGUGGCGAAGGCGGCCAACUGGGCUGGAUCUGACGCUGAGGCGCGAAAGCGUGGGGAGCAAA
This 403-nucleotide ribosomal RNA is filed under the name uncultured bacterium. RNAcentral's name for it is "bacterial SSU rRNA". It matches the Rfam family "Bacterial small subunit ribosomal RNA", at positions 358 to 772 of the family's 1533-position model. The record is from RNAcentral.